RNAcentral lists this ribosomal RNA (424 nucleotides) under uncultured bacterium. RNAcentral's name for it is "bacterial SSU rRNA". It matches the Rfam family "Bacterial small subunit ribosomal RNA", at positions 356 to 772 of the family's 1533-position model. The record is from RNAcentral.
GGGGAAUAUUGGACAAUGGGCGCAAGCCUGAUCCAGCCAUGCCGCGUGGGUGAAGAAGGCCUUCGGGUUGUAAAGCCCUUUUGUUGGGAAAGAAAAGCUUCCGGUUAAUACCCGGGAGUCAUGACGGUACCCAAAGAAUAAGCACCGGCUAACUUCGUGCCAGCAGCCGCGGUAAUACGAAGGGUGCAAGCGUUACUCGGAAUUACUGGGCGUAAAGCGUGCGUAGGUGGUUCGUUAAGGCUGAUGUGAAAGCCCUGGGCUCAACCUGGGAAUUGCAUUGGAUACUGGCGGGCUAGAGUGCGGUAGAGGAUGGCGGAAUUCCCGGUGUAGCAGUGAAAUGCGUAGAGAUCGGGAGGAACAUCUGUGGCGAAGGCGGCCAUCUGGACCAGCACUGACACUGAGGCACGAAAGCGUGGGGAGCAAA